ACAUUGGAAGAUUCCUCAUUUGAACUCUGCUUUUCUUCAUUUUAAUACAAUCAUUGCUGUCUCCAGUUGUCGGCAAUUAUUCUAUGAUUAUUAAUCCUAUGAGAAACCGUGAAUUCAAUAUUUUAGUUGUUUAGAGUUUGUAAUGAAAAUUGGACUUUUGUUAUAUAUAUAUUUUCUGAGUAGAAUACAAUCAUACAUACAUCUUCCCCUGCAAUUCGUCCAUCCCCCAUAAUUUCCAUAAAGAGACACUGAUUCAAACUAAGAAAUUGAAAGAAACCUCAAAAAUUGAAGAAAAUGUGGAAAGUGAGAUAGGAAGAUGUUCCCCUCUCAAAAAAAUCAUAACUAGGAUUGUUUCCCCCGUAUUUUCCAUAAAGAGACCCUCCUUCUUUACAAAUCUUUUGUUUGAAUUUGGCUGAAGAAAUAGCAUUCAUCUUCAUGAGCAAAUCAGGAGACAACAUGUUGACCACUGGAUCACAAAUCCAUGAUUGUUAUGAGCACUAUGAGUUGAAAACAUAUGAAAAGUUGUUCUGGUGCGACGGCUGCAAGAUGAACGGGUUCGGAGAAUGGUACACUUGCAAUCUCUGUGGUCACGGACUACACAAGGACUGUAGGCAACCCAAAUCUAAAGUUUCCCAUGAGAAUUUUGGUGGCUCCAUCUUCAAAUUUCACUAUAAGCCAUUCACCAGAUUGGGUAAAAAAUAUCGCAGAGAGUUUUCAAGGAUCUGCGAUGCAUGUGGAAAGGUCAUAUGCGGUUUUAACUACCACUGUGAAGAAGAGAACUUGGAUUUACACCCAUGUUGUGGAAAAUUGGUAAAGGAACUGGUGAUUGAUGGUAUGAUAUUUGAUCUAGAGGCAAAGCUUUCAUCAAAGUGUGGAAUGUGCGGACAGAAGAAGAUUCCUCGUGUUGAGAACAAUGUUCCGGGAUGGUCUUAUGUUUCCCAGUGCAAAAGGUAUCAUUUUCAUGUGUAUUGUAUGACUGAAAUGCUACACGAGUCUCACAUGAAUAGUUCGGAUUUGGCAUUGGAGAAUAUGAAUUUUAGAGAAUUCAGUAAUCACAUCGAAAAUUCACUCAAAGGAGAUGAAAAAUUUGAAACAUUUGUUUUACAGAGAAUACUUGUUUCAACUAUCCCUGUAUAUAUGGAACCAUGCGUCCGUUAUGACCUAGAAAUUGAUUUACCAGAUGAACUCAAGCUUUCAGCAAUCAGUUGCAAAAUUUCUAGGUCUCCUCAAGCAUACAGAGCAUUCUUUGAGUUACUGAUGUCAACUGUGCAAGAUCUGAGGGUAGUCUUCACAAUCCCAAAGCAGCGAAUGUCCAAGAUUACUCCUACUCCCCAUCCGAAUGAAGUUGUCAUGGUGUUUAUUGACUUUCUCGUCCAACUUUUAGAAGAAAUUAUGCGCCUUGAACCAGAUUUCAUUGUUCCAGUCAAGGGUUCAAUCAAAAACCUCCAGACAGAACUUGAAUUUCUUAUCAGCUUUCUUGGAGAUGCACCGUUACACACUGAGGUGGACGUAACAAAGAAUAUAUUGUCAGAUAUCGAAGUUGUUGUCAAUGAGGUUGGAAGUUUCUUAUAUUCAUUAUUUUCAACAAGGGAUGACAGAGUCCUGGAGACUGUAAGAUUGAGUUUUUCUCUUUCUGAUUUCUUACAAAAGUUUGAGAUCUUGAAAACAAAGAUCAAGGAGCACUGCACCACAGUCCCAAAGUUACCAGGUUGUGUCGCUACAAAGAGUAGUGUGAUUUCGUUCUUCACUGUGGAUUCUCUCCUUGAUGAUCUCGAGGACCUGAUCAAUUAUAAGGCUGACAGGAUUGUCCCCGCGAAGGAUCAAAUCAUAACGCUCUAUGAGAAGAUGUCAUCGUUGAGAUCCACCCUCAAUUAUAUGGCCGUGGAACGGCACUUACAACUUGAGGAUCUUGCGAUGAAAACCAGAUACUUAGCAUAUGAAAUUUCAUAUGUUAUCAACUCGGUUACUCCUGCCUCAUAUCUCACCCUCAGGCUCUCUCAACUCCUCGAGAAGAUUCAUCUUGUUAAGAUGGCAAUACAAGAAAAGAAGAGCAGUAGUAUUGAUGCUGGAAUACCUGAAGAAGAAUAUCCAUGUGAGCAAGUACAGCCUCAAGCUAAAGAACUUAACAAUUUGGAAGACGAUUUAGUGGGUUUCAAGGAUGAGAAAACCAAAAUUUCUGAUCAACUCACCAGUGGACCACUAAAGCAACAAAUUAUUUCCAUUGUUGGAAUGCCUGGACUUGGUAAGACUACUUUAGCAAAGAAAUUGUUCAAUGAUCCUUCCAUUGUCCAUCAUUUCGACAUAUGUGCUUGGUGUGUGGUUUCUCAAACAUAUAAGAAGAAAAAUGCAUUGAUUGACAUUUUGACAUCGACAAGAAACCAUAACAGACAAACAAUCAAGGAGAUGGAGGAAGAAAAGUUGGCUGAAAUGCUUUACAAAAGUUUAAAAGGAAUGAGAUACCUUAUUGUCAUGGAUGAUGUAUGGGACACUAGACCGUGGGAUGAUUUGCGAAGAUAUUUUCCAGAUGAUAUAACAGGAAGUAGAAUCUUAUUCACAUCUCGGAACAAAGAAUUGGGUUUCGAUAAUGUUGUUAAUGAACUUCCGUUCCUAUCAGGUGCUGAAUGUUGGGAAUUAUUACAGCGGAAAGUGUUCCAAACAGAACCUUGCCCUCCAGAAUUGCAAGGGAUUGGUCAGCAUAUUGCCUCAAGAUGUCACGGUCUACCGAUGUCAGUCAUUAUGAUAUCUUCCAUUCUUGCAAAUAUGCAGAAGAAAGAGAGCUCAUGGGGAGAAAUAGCGCGACAUUUAAAUGCACACAUAUUUGACAGCACAAAUAAUUGCGUCCAUAUACUGAAACUUAGUUUCCAGCAUUUAUCAGUUCAUUUGAAACUAUGUUUUCUAUAUUUUGGAGUAUUUGAAGAAGAUGAAGUAAUCCCAGUACAGAAGUUGAUAUCUCUGUGGGUUGCCGAAGGGUUUAUAAACAAAGAAACCCACAGGAGCUCAGAGGAUGUGGCACUCGAUUAUCUAGUGGAUCUAAUUAAUAGGGGUCUGGUACUAGUUGCUGAAGAAAGAUCAAAUGGUGGAGUCAAAGCUUGCAGGAUUCAUGAUCUACUGCAUGAUUUAUGCUUGAGGAUAGCCAAAGAAGAAAACUUUAUGGGAGGGAUCGAAAACGGAUAUUCGAAGUGCAAGAAAGAUAAGAGUAUCUUGGAUAUGCAGCGUCUUUGUUUCCUAAGACCAUUUGAUCCAUAUGUUCACUCUCAGUUAGGCCGCAGGGUCAUGGAUUUGUCAGGACCUUAUUGGGAUUCAUUUAUCAGUUGUUCAUUUAAAGAUGUACGUGAAGGAAUUGAAAACUUGGUUCACUUGAGGUACUUGAAAGUUCAAGAAGAACUUAAACUGCCAUUAAUAGAAAAACUCCACAGACUAGAAUAUCUUCACGUGGAGAACAGAGAUGAAGUUGAAAUACCUGAUUUUGUUCUUAACAUGAAGUAUUUGAAACGUCUGCAUUUUGGAGGUGGUGCACGCUUCAGUGAAUCUUCUCAUUUAAGAGCAACUACGGAUGGAAGCUUCCAAAUAAAUAACCUACAAUCUAUUUCUACACUUCUUAUUCAUAAUGAAAUAGAUGCAAAAGUUUUGGGAUGUGCUCCCAAUCUCCGCAAAUUGAAAUGCAAGCUCGUGUCUCAAUGGCCUUUCCAAUUCCCCAAUCAACUUGAAUCUCUCGAGAUCAGUUUGAUGAGAGAUUCAGGUCCCGAUUUUCCCUUGAAUCUCAAAAAAUUGACCCUAUUGCAGUUUGAUUCGUCGUGGGAAAAAAUUCGGAUGAUUGGGAGAUUGCCAAACUUAGAGGUUCUCAAAUUACGUAAUGGUUCCUUCAAGGAAAAGCAAUGGGACACAGAAGUAGGUGAAUUCCAAAAACUCAAAUUCUUCGAGCUAAAUAAUGUGAAAAUUGCAAGCCGGUAUGACUGUGCAGAAUGGAAUCCCACAAGUGAUGAUUACCCCAAACUAGAACGAUUAGUGUUGCGAAAUUGCUACUGUUUGAAUAAGAUCCCUUCCAGUUUAGGUUAUAUUUUAACCUUACAGAAGAUUGAGGUAUAUAGAUGCGGAGACUCUAUCGCAAAAUCUGCUGUGGAAAUUCGGGAAGAACAAGAAGAAAUGGGAAAUGAAGAGCUUAAAGUUAUCAUCUCUCACAGGCGAUUCAAAUAGAAUAAACAGAGCAUGAGUUUUGCAGGGGAUGCAAGAAGUCUUUAGCAAACUCUUGGAAGGAACCAAAUCGUACGACCUUUCUCGGAAAACCUGUGGAACAAUGGCCGAUUCCUCAACAAUUACCUUGGGGAUGCUAGGAAGUUUUUAGCAAACUCUUGGAAGGAACCAAAUCGUACCACCUUUCUCGGAAAACCUGUAGAACAAUGGCCGAUUCCUCACCAAUUACCUUGGUAUAAUAGACUACAUGCAUCCUGUACCUUUACUUUUUUUUUAUUAUUACCUUUUUUAAUUGUGAAUUCUUAAUAUUGUGCCCUUUUUCUUUUUUCCUCGCUUAUACAUGCAAUAGGUGGGUUACUUUAUGUGAGGUGGAUAGUUUGUAAUAUUAUUGAGUUCUUACUUUUCUUUUUCUUCCAAUUAGUGCUUGCCGAAUUAUUCCAUCUUUCUCUCGGUAAAGUUAUUAUGAGAUUUUGUUUUGCCAUUAAA
This is an RNA transcript of Olea europaea var. sylvestris, 4677 nucleotides long. It is a transcript of the gene named putative late blight resistance protein homolog R1B-23, with no coding region annotated. NCBI's taxonomy places the organism in Eukaryota, Viridiplantae, Streptophyta, Magnoliopsida, Lamiales, Oleaceae. The record is from RefSeq and is a predicted model, not a curated record. The transcript is spliced from 5 exons.